AUAUUUAACAAUUCUUAUAAUAUAAAUAAUAAAAUUAAUUAAAACAUUAAUAGAUUUAGUAAAGGAGAUUAAAACUUAUUUAUUUUGCUAUUUUAAGUACUGUGAAGGAAGUUUAUAAAUAAUGUUAUAAAAAAUUUGUACUUUUUGCAUUAUGGUCUAACUAGAUAAAAUUUCAAAAGAAGGUUCUAGAAAUCAAAUGAGCUAUUCUUAAUCAGACUCAUAGGUCUUAAAGGUUAAUUGUAACAAAAAUUUCUUAAGAACUAAGAAUAGAAAUAAUAUGUUAUUCGCAUUUGAUGAUAGCUAGUUUUCUUCUAAAAGUAUAAAAGUACUUCGGGCUUAUAUAUUAUAGUAUACUCAACUAUAAGGUAAUAAGCUUAGACAUAUUUUUAAGUUUAACCUUAAAAACAACUUUAAGUCUUAUAUAAAAUUUAUGUUUAAACUAUGAGCUUGAUAAUGGCUAUUACAAUUAAUUUUGUUACAAUUACAUUUAUAGAUAAAAAUAUAAUAAAUCUAUUUAUCCGGAGAAGAAUAAUCUUAUAAACAAUUAAAUAAGUUAUUUUAAUGUUAGAAUGAGUAUUAGAUAUAUGCUGAUUUUAAAAUAUCAUGCUUUAAAACAAAUAUGGUAUAAUAAUACUAAAUUAUAAAAAGGAACUCAGCAAACAAGUGUUCUGUCUGUUUAUCAAAAACAUGGCUUUAUGAAUUAAAAUUAAUGUAAAGUUAGACCUGCCCAGUGAAUAUUUUUAACGGCCGCAGUACCCUAACUGUGCAAAGGUAGCGUAAUAAUUUGCCUUAUAAUUUAAGGCUAAAUGAAUGGUUUAACAAGAAUACAGCUGUCUCUUUAUAACUAAAUAGAAUUUUAUCUUUGAGUGAAAAAGCUCAAAUAUAAUUAAAAGACAAGAAGACCCUGUCGAGCUUUAAAAUCUUAAAUUUAUAAAUUACUAAUUUAUAUAAUCUAUGAGACUUUAGUUGGGGCAACUAAAAAGGUAACCUUUUAAAUAAUAUAAACUAACUAGUUAUGAUCCAGCUAUGCUGACUGAGGAAAUAGUUACCGGAGGGAUAACAGCAUUAUCUUUUUUACGAGUUCUUAUUAAAAAAAGGUUUGUGACCUCGAUGUUGGAUCAGAAUAUCCUAAAGAUGAAAAAGUCUUUAAGGGUUAGUCUGUUCGACUAUUAAAAUUCUACGUGAUCUGAGUUCAGACCGGCGCGAGCUAGGUCAGUUUCUAUCUUUAAUUUAUAAAUACGCCUAGUACGAAAGGAUUGGCGUAUUUCAUUAUAAAUGUUUUUUUUGAAGUAAUUUAAAAAAUUUAUA
Molecule: ribosomal RNA, 1308 nt
Filed under: Pygmaeconus traillii
Lineage: Eukaryota; Metazoa; Mollusca; Gastropoda; Neogastropoda; Conidae
Description: 16S ribosomal RNA
Rfam family: Archaeal large subunit ribosomal RNA (bases 619-1308)
Source: RNAcentral